Molecule: ribosomal RNA, 119 nt
Filed under: Pteropus alecto (black flying fox)
Lineage: Eukaryota; Metazoa; Chordata; Mammalia; Chiroptera; Pteropodidae
Source: RNAcentral
GUCUAUGGCCAUGCUACCCUGAACAAGCCCGAUCCUGUCUGAUCUCUGAAGCUAAGCAGGGGUGAGCCUGGUUAGUGCUUGAAUGGGAGACCACCUAGGAAGACCAGGUGCUGUAGGCG